This 400-nucleotide ribosomal RNA is filed under the name uncultured bacterium. Its description in RNAcentral is "bacterial SSU rRNA". It matches the Rfam family "Bacterial small subunit ribosomal RNA", at positions 355 to 747 of the family's 1533-position model. The record is from RNAcentral.
UGGGGAAUUUUGGACAAUGGGCGAAAGCCUGAUCCAGCAAUGCCGCGUGAGUGAAGAAGGCCUUCGGGUUGUAAAGCUCUUUUGUCAGGGAAGAAACGGUGAAAGCUAAUAUCUUUUUCUAAUGACGGUACCUGAAGAAUAAGCACCGGCUAACUACGUGCCAGCAGCCGCGGUAAUACGUAGGGUGCAAGCGUUAAUCGGAAUUACUGGGCGUAAAGCGUGCGCAGGCGGUUUUGUAAGUCUGAUGUGAAAUCCCCGGGCUCAACCUGGGAAUUGCAUUGGAGACUGCAAGGCUAGAAUCUGGCAGAGGGGGGUAGAAUUCCACGUGUAGCAGUGAAAUGCGUAGAUAUGUGGAGGAACACCGAUGGCGAAGGCAGCCCCCUGGGUCAAGAUUGACGCU